This 700-nucleotide ribosomal RNA is filed under the name uncultured bacterium. RNAcentral's name for it is "bacterial SSU rRNA". It matches the Rfam family "Bacterial small subunit ribosomal RNA", at positions 81 to 759 of the family's 1533-position model. The record is from RNAcentral.
UGGAUCACCAGUGAGUGGCGGACGGGUGAGUAACACGUAGGUAACCUGCCCCGGAGCGGGGGAUAACAUUUGGAAACAGAUGCUAAUACCGCAUAACAACAAAAGCCACAUGGCUUUUGUUUGAAAGAUGGCUUUGGCUAUCACUCUGGGAUGGACCUGCGGUGCAUUAGCUAGUUGGUAAGGUAACGGCUUACCAAGGCGAUGAUGCAUAGCCGAGUUGAGAGACUGAUCGGCCACAAUGGAACUGAGACACGGUCCAUACUCCUACGGGAGGCAGCAGUAGGGAAUCUUCCACAAUGGGCGCAAGCCUGAUGGAGCAACACCGCGUGAGUGAAGAAGGGUUUCGGCUCGUAAAGCUCUGUUGUUGGAGAAGAACGUGCGUGAGAGUAACUGUUCACGCAGUGACGGUAUCCAACCAGAAAGUCACGGCUAACUACGUGCCAGCAGCCGCGGUAAUACGUAGGUGGCAAGCGUUAUCCGGAUUUAUUGGGCGUAAAGCGAGCGCAGGCGGUUGCUUAGGUCUGAUGUGAAAGCCUUCGGCUUAACCGAAGAAGUGCAUCGGAAACCGGGCAACUUGAGUGCAGAAGAGGACAGUGGAACUCCCAUGUGUAGCGGUGGAAUGCGUAGAUAUAUGGAAGAACACCCAGUGGCGAAAGGCGGCUUGUCUGGGUCUGCCAACUGAACGCUGAAGGCUCGAAAG